RNAcentral lists this ribosomal RNA (164 nucleotides) under uncultured bacterium. RNAcentral's name for it is "partial small subunit ribosomal RNA". It matches the Rfam family "Bacterial small subunit ribosomal RNA", at positions 26 to 218 of the family's 1533-position model. The record is from RNAcentral.
AGAACGAACGCUGGCGGCAUGCCUAACACAUGCAAGUCGAACGCUCUCUUCGGAGGGAGUGGCGCACGGGUGAGUAACGCGUGGGGACCUGCCUUGGAGUGGGGGAUAACCGAUGGAAACGUCGGCUAAUACCGCAUACGUCCUGAGGGAGAAAGAUUUAUCGC